UUACAAAUCUGGUUUAUCAGUGCCGUCUGAGUAUACGAAAAAUCAAUCAAAACUUUCAACAACGGAUCUCUUGGUUCUGGCAUCGAUGAAGAACGCAGCGAAAUGCGAUAAGUAAUGUGAAUUGCAGAAUUCAGUGAAUCAUCGAAUCUUUGAACGCACAUUGCGCCCCCUGGUAUUCCGGGGGGUAUGCCUGUUCGAGCGUCAUUA
Molecule: ribosomal RNA, 207 nt
Filed under: Caloplaca cretensis
Lineage: Eukaryota; Fungi; Ascomycota; Lecanoromycetes; Teloschistales; Teloschistaceae
Description: 5.8S ribosomal RNA
Rfam family: 5.8S ribosomal RNA (bases 51-204)
About the family: 5.8S ribosomal RNA (5.8S rRNA) is a component of the large subunit of the eukaryotic ribosome. It is transcribed by RNA polymerase I as part of the 45S precursor that also contains 18S and 28S rRNA.
Source: RNAcentral